Molecule: microRNA precursor, 98 nt
Filed under: Callithrix jacchus (white-tufted-ear marmoset)
Lineage: Eukaryota; Metazoa; Chordata; Mammalia; Primates; Cebidae
Description: mir-544 microRNA precursor family
Rfam family: mir-544 microRNA precursor family
Source: Rfam by way of RNAcentral
GUCACUUAGGAGUCUUGUUAAAAUGCAGAUUCUCAGUUGGUAAAUCUAAAGUGGGACCUGAGAUUCUGCAUUUCUAACAAGCUCCCAGGUGAUGCCAA